Molecule: ribosomal RNA, 468 nt
Filed under: uncultured bacterium
Lineage: Bacteria
Description: partial 16S ribosomal RNA
Rfam family: Bacterial small subunit ribosomal RNA
Source: RNAcentral
GACGAACGCUGGCGGCGUGCUUAACACAUGCAAGUCGAACGGAAAGGCCCGGCUUUUGUGGGGUGCUCGAGUGGCGAACGGGUGAGUAACACGUGAGUAACCUGCCCUUGACUUUGGGGUAACUUCAGGAAACUUGGGCUAAUACCGGAUAGGAUCUCCUGCUGCAUGGUGGGGGUGGGAAAGUUUCGCCGGUUGGGGAUGGACUCGCGCCGUAUCAGGUUGUUGGGUGGGUAGUGGCUGACCAAGGCUUUGCCCGGUAGCCGGCCUGAGAGGGGGACCGGACCAGUCGGGACGGAAAUGAGGCACGGCCUACUACGGGACGGAGGGGUGCGGAAGGGUGUAUUAUGGGAGGGACCCAAGUCUAGCACAGCCGUGUCGGGGAUGACGGCCUGCGGGUUGUGUACCGCUUUUGCCUGUGCCGAGGUGAGAGUGACGGUACUGGGUAAAGAAGCACCGGCUAACUACGUG